This 509-nucleotide ribosomal RNA is filed under the name uncultured bacterium. RNAcentral's name for it is "bacterial SSU rRNA". It matches the Rfam family "Bacterial small subunit ribosomal RNA", at positions 1003 to 1511 of the family's 1533-position model. The record is from RNAcentral.
GAUAGAGUCUUCCCCUUCGGGGGACAAAGUGACAGGUGGUGCAUGGUUGUCGUCAGCUCGUGUCGUGAGAUGUUGGGUUAAGUCCCGCAACGAGCGCAACCCUUAAGCUUAGUUGCCAGCAUUAAGUUGGGCACUCUAAGUUGACUGCCGGUGACAAACCGGAGGAAGGUGGGGAUGACGUCAAAUCAUCAUGCCCCUUAUGAUUUGGGCUACACACGUGCUACAAUGGACAAUACAAAGGGCAGCUAAACCGUGAGGUCAUGCAAAUCCCAUAAAGUUGUUCUCAGUUCGGAUUGUAGUCUGCAACUCGACUACAUGAAGCUGGAAUCGCUAGUAAUCGUAGAUCAGCAUGCUACGGUGAAUACGUUCCCGGGUCUUGUACACACCGCCCGUCACACCACGAGAGUCUGUAACACCCGAAGCCGGUGGAGUAACCAUUUAUGGAGCUAGCCGUCGAAGGUGGGACAAAUGAUUGGGGUGAAGUCGUAACAAGGUAGCCGUAUCGGAAG